UUACUACCUCCCUUUUCUCUUCAAGAAAGACUGCUACUUUCAUCAAACCUGUGUUCUCAAACAAAAAUUGAAGUUAGAAAGAAAUAAGAAUAAAAAAGAAAAUAUACCGAUAAAUAGUACCUCAUGUUCCAAGAGAAGUAAAAACUUCUAAAUUUAGCAAGCUUGCUAAGAAUUAAUACAACCUGCAAAAUAUUAUAAAAAUUUUGUUCAAACUUAUAGCGCAUUAGUACAAUAUCAAUCAAACAACAUUUUCUAAUUUAAAUAAUACCUUUACUACUGAAAUUUCUUCAUGCUUGUAAAUAUCAAUAUUGAUCCAAUUUCAAGAAGCUGAAUCUCCCAUCUUUUAUCCUCGUCCAGCUUAAAUGGCUUGUGAGUUGUACAUUACAAAAAUUCACUCAACCUUUCCAAACCAAACCAAACUCUAUGCCUUACAUUUAUAGUAAGUUCUACAUUACAAAAUUUUCACUUGGCACAACCCAUAUAGAGACACAUACAAAGACAUAUCUAUACAUAUUCAAAAGGGUGCUCCAAGUGUAAAAUUAUCUCUCAACAAAAGUACAAAAUAAACUAGAAUAUUAAAUACAAAAUAUAACAAAUACACUAAAUAGAUACACGAAAAAACUCAUUCAAAAUGCAUAUCACAAUAAGUAGGACAUCAACCACCAACGAAACAUAAUAAUAAAAACAUCCAAACAUAUAUAACAAAAGAAAAAAACAACACAAAAAAAUUACAAUGACAUUCAACGAAACAUCACAUUCACAAACAAAAUCAACAUUCAUCAAAAAAAUUAUAAUAGUCCAACAAAACAUUACAUUCGAAACAAAUAUUACAAUAUUCCGACAAAACAUCACACAAUAACAAAAAAAUAACACAUAUAUAACACAUUCAUCAAGCAAGACCAAUAGAAAAAAUUACAAUAUUCCAAUUAAAGUUUAAUAACUAUCGGUGAACAUAUAUAACACAUUUUAUAUAAUAUAUAUAUAAUAUAAUGUGUAUCUAUACAUACAUAUGUAUAUUACGUAUAUAAUAUAAUAUAUAUUAUAAUACUUAUUAUACAGAUAUACAUGUGUAUAAUACACAUGUAUAUUAUGUAUAUUACAUAAUAAUAUAAUAUAAUUAUAUCA
Molecule: long non-coding RNA, 1125 nt
Filed under: Panax ginseng (ginseng)
Lineage: Eukaryota; Viridiplantae; Streptophyta; Magnoliopsida; Apiales; Araliaceae
Description: long non-coding RNA (PGIN_LNC016698)
Source: RNAcentral